GAUGAACGCUGGCGGCGUGCCUAAUACAUGCAAGUCGAGCGAACAGACGAGGAGCUUGCUCCUCUGACGUUAGCGGCGGACGGGUGAGUAACACGUGGAUAACCUACCUAUAAGACUGGGAUAACUUCGGGAAACCGGAGCUAAUACCGGAUAAUAUAUUGAACCGCAUGGUUCAAUAGUAAAAGACGGUUUUGCUGUCACUUAUAGAUGGAUCCGCGCCGCAUUAGCUAGUUGGUAAGGUAACGGCUUACCAAGGCAACGAUGCGUAGCCGACCUGAGAGGGUGAUCGGCCACACUGGAACUGAGACACGGUCCAGACUCCUACGGGAGGCAGCAGUAGGGAAUCUGCCGCAAUGGGCGAAAGCCUGACGGAGCAGCGCCGCGUGAGUGAUGAAGGUCUUCGGAUCGUAAAACUCUGUUAUUAGGGAAGAACAAAUGUGUAAGUAACUAUGCACGUCUUGACGGUACCUAAUCAGAAAGCCACGGCUAACUACGUG
Molecule: ribosomal RNA, 497 nt
Filed under: uncultured bacterium
Lineage: Bacteria
Description: partial 16S ribosomal RNA
Rfam family: Bacterial small subunit ribosomal RNA
Source: RNAcentral